Molecule: ribosomal RNA, 489 nt
Filed under: Triticum aestivum (bread wheat)
Lineage: Eukaryota; Viridiplantae; Streptophyta; Magnoliopsida; Poales; Poaceae
Description: partial small subunit ribosomal RNA
Source: RNAcentral
AUGGUAUUGCUUCCAACGGGGAAGCUGCGGGAGUACCCGCGCCCGGCCACAGCGGGCCAGGCGCUCGAGGACUUGGUGGAUGGGGACGCCGGCUGGUUCGUAUGCGACGCCGACGAGAUGGGGUUUGAGGGGCCCGUGGCCCCCGUGGGCGGGGCCGAGGAGCUACGCCCGGGGCAGAUAUACUUCGCGCUCCCCGCUGAGGCUCGACGGAACGGCCUCCGGCGCGAGGACAUCGCCGCUCUCGCUGUCAGGGCAUCCGCGGCGCUUGUUAAUAAGGCCCACAGCGUAGCAUCCUGCGCCGGCGCUGGACAACGGAGGCGCGCCGGCUCGGUGGCGCCGCUCGUUUUCGCCCCACCCCAGGAGGACGAGACCGUCGCUUAAAAGACCGUGCCGGCACUGGCAGCAAAGAGGCGGCCGGUGGCGCGCGCGAAGAGUGCCGGGAGGAUGCAGCCACGCUUCGCACCCGAUCUGAGCGCCAUUCCCGAGUGA